Molecule: ribosomal RNA, 510 nt
Filed under: uncultured bacterium
Lineage: Bacteria
Description: partial 16S ribosomal RNA
Rfam family: Bacterial small subunit ribosomal RNA
Source: RNAcentral
GACGAACGCUGGCGGCGUGCUUAACACAUGCAAGUCGAACGAAGAGCGAUGGAAGCUUGCUUCUAUCAAUCUUAGUGGCGAACGGGUGAGUAACGCGUAAUCAACCUGCCCUUCAGAGGGGGACAACAGUUGGAAACGACUGCUAAUACCGCAUACGAUCUAAUCUCGGCAUCGAGGAUAGAUGAAAGGUGGCCUCUACAUGUAAGCUAUCACUGAAGGAGGGGAUUGCGUCUGAUUAGCUAGUUGGAGGGGUAACGGCCCACCAAGGCGAUGAUCAGUAGCCGGUCUGAGAGGAUGAACGGCCACGUUGGGACUGAGACACGGCCCAGACUCCUACGGGAGGCAGCAGUGGGGAAUCUUCCGCAAUGGACGAAAGUCUGACGGAGCAACGCCGCGUGAGUGAUGACGGCCUUCGGGUUGUAAAGCUCUGUUAAUCGGGACGAAAGGCCUUCUUGCGAAUAGUGAGAAGGAUUGACGGUACCGGAAGAGAAAGCCACGGCUAACUACGUG